This 207-nucleotide ribosomal RNA is filed under the name uncultured bacterium. Its description in RNAcentral is "partial 16S ribosomal RNA". It matches the Rfam family "Bacterial small subunit ribosomal RNA", at positions 568 to 774 of the family's 1533-position model. The record is from RNAcentral.
AGCGUAGGCGGGAUUGCAAGUCAGAUGUGAAAACUAUGGGCUUAACCCAUAGACUGCAUUUGAAACUGUAGUUCUUGAGUGAAGUAGAGGUAAGCGGAAUUCCUAGUGUAGCGGUGAAAUGCGUAGAUAUUAGGAGGAACAUCGGUGGCGAAGGCGGCUUACUGGGCUUUUACUGACGCUGAGGCUCGAAAGCGUGGGGAGCAAACA